This 253-nucleotide ribosomal RNA is filed under the name uncultured bacterium. Its description in RNAcentral is "partial 16S ribosomal RNA". It matches the Rfam family "Bacterial small subunit ribosomal RNA", at positions 524 to 776 of the family's 1533-position model. The record is from RNAcentral.
UACAGAGGUCUCAAGCGUUGUUCGGAUUCAUUGGGCGUAAAGGGUGCGUAGGUGGCGCGCUAAGUCGGGUGUGAAAUUUCGGAGCUUAACUCCGAAACUGCAUUCGAUACUGGCGUGCUUGAGGACUGGAGAGGAGACUGGAAUUCAUGGUGUAGCAGUGAAAUGCGUAGAGAUCAUGAGGAAGACCAGUGGCGAAGGCGGGUCUCUGGACAGUUCCUGACACUGAGACACGAAGGCUAGGGGAGCAAACGGG